Long non-coding RNA from Trifolium pratense (red clover), 1711 nucleotides. RefSeq lists it as uncharacterized. Lineage: Eukaryota; Viridiplantae; Streptophyta; Magnoliopsida; Fabales; Fabaceae. The transcript is spliced from 3 exons. The record is from RefSeq and is a predicted model, not a curated record.
CUCUUGCAUUCUACAACAACCAAAUAAGAAUGCAGUCACUCAAAAUUCUUCUUCUACACAGAAAAUAGACCACAAAAUAAGAAUGCAAAUAGAGCUUCUUGAGCUGCUAAGAGGUGUCUCGUAUAAUCUAUGAAUCAUGUAUCAUAUUGAAGGGAUCUUUUGCAUGGUGGCAAUUUUUUUUUUUGACAAUUGCAUGGUGGCAAUUUGAACGGACUGAAAGUUGUAUUGAUAGAUGGAGACUCUACUCCCAGUGCUUUCCUCAGAAAGCUCUUUUCCUGAAAUAUGAAGUGUUAAAACAAUGUUGCAAACGGAUGGGCCACAUAGAUAUUCUCAGUCCCAAUUGCAAUCUGUUCUACGAUUUGGAAAGAACCACAAUGGGGACAAUGUGCAUAAGGAGAUUGCAGCAACAGAGGACAACGAGUUCCUGCACUCCAGUGGGGUUCGCUCCAUCCUCUUCCAUGGAUUAGUCCUCGAAAUGGGUUAACAGCAAUCCAUCUUUUUUGAACAAUUGGGUUACUAUCCAUUUCGGUCAGACCAAUUAUUAGACUUAGCCUUGAACCCGACAUACCAAAGGCCAUUUUCAAUUAUCUAUUCCUUGCCUUCCACAAGGCCGUAUAUACUGAUGAUUUCACGACAACCUAAUGGUUGUUAUUCGUGACUCACAAGCAAGCACCGCUGACUGUUUAAGGUUCUCUGCCAAAUGAUUAGCAUCCAGAGGCUCUCGCAGGGGAGGUGCCUAGACUAUUUUAUGUGAUACAGAAUGUGUAGGGUCCGCCUCAAGCUGAUCAAUGUCUGAUUGUUUUGACAGAGGGACUUGGAUUUCCUUGUUUGCAAGGCGUGAUUUUUUAUUUGAUGGUUCUGCCGAAGAAACAUGGUUGGCCAGAGUCUUUCAAGACCAAGAACCAGUAUUGUUGCCCUCCCGCUGCCAUUUCUCUUCAUUUUUUACCAUUUCACCAACAAUUAGUUUGUUGGUUUGAUCUUCUCGUUGCAACCCACUUGCAUUAAACAACAAAUUUGCUUCCCACACUAAAUUUGAGUCCUCAUGACCAAUGUAGUCAGGUUCGGGAUCCUACGUAGGAUCGGUAGGCUGGUGGAGAGUCAUAAGGUCGGGAUCGUAGCUCGAUUCGUAAGAACCUACUCAAGGGUAAAAUGGUAAUUUCACAUAUAUACAUAUACACAAAAACACAAAAAUAAUAAUAAUAAUAAUAAUAAUAAUAAUAAUACAUGAAUAAAAUAAACUAAAUUAAUAUUUCAUAGACAUCAUUCCAAAUGUUCAUAACUUCAUAACAAACCAAGUACUAAGUUCAUAAAACAAGUAACUAGAGGCCUAUGCAUCAUUCAUAAUUAAAGGUCUAUGCAAUGCAUCAUUCACAAAAGAAAGACAAACAGAACAAAAAAUGAAAACAAAGAGAUGAGAUGAAGUACAGAGUAACAGAGAUGAGAUUAAAACAAACGAAAGUGAAGGAAAUAAAGGAGAGGUUGUGUUUGAAACAGAGAAAGUCUAGGGUUUGAAACGAAACGGAAGGUUAGGAAGGAAAUGGUGACGGUCCACUAGGUUUCGCCGUCUACAGCUUUCAUUGUUGGCGACAGCGACGGUGGAGAAGUGAGGAAGCGAUGGUGACUGGUAAUCAGUGAGGAAAGCUGCGUGAUUUUGUUUUAGGUUUGAAUGAAAACACGCGUGAGGAAGGUUGGAAUGAAAACAUGUGUUUUC